UGGGGAAUUUUGGACAAUGGGCGAAAGCCUGAUCCAGCAAUGCCGCGUGUGUGAAGAAGGCCUUCGGGUUGUAAAGCACUUUUGUCCGGAAAGAAAUCCUUGGGCUCUAAUACAGUCGGGGGAUGACGGUACCGGAAGAAUAAGCACCGGCUAACUACGUGCCAGCAGCCGCGGUAAUACGUAGGGUGCAAGCGUUAAUCGGAAUUACUGGGCGUAAAGCGUGCGCAGGCGGUUUGCUAAGACCGAUGUGAAAUCCCGGGCUCAACCUGGGAACUGCAUUGGUGACUGGCAGGCUAGAGUAUGGCAGAGGGGGGUAGAAUUCCACGUGUAGCAGUGAAAUGCGUAGAGAUGUGGAGGAAUACCGAUGGCGAAGGCAGCCCCCUGGGCAAUACUGACGCUCAUGCACGAAAGCGUGGGGAGCAAACAGGAUU
This 431-nucleotide ribosomal RNA is filed under the name uncultured bacterium. RNAcentral's name for it is "partial 16S ribosomal RNA". It matches the Rfam family "Bacterial small subunit ribosomal RNA", at positions 355 to 779 of the family's 1533-position model. The record is from RNAcentral.